UACGUAGGGUGCAAGCGUUAAUCGGAAUUACUGGGCGUAAAGCGUGCGCAGGCGGCUUUGCAAGACAGAUGUGAAAUCCCCGGGCUUAACCUGGGAACUGCAUUUGUGACUGCAUGGCUGGAGUGCGGCAGAGGGGGAUGGAAUUCCGCGUGUAGCAGUGAAAUGCGUAGAUAUGUGGAGGAACACCGAUGGCGAAGGCAGCCCCCUGGGUCAAAACUGACGCUCAUGCACGAAAGCGUGGGGAGCAAACAGG
Molecule: ribosomal RNA, 253 nt
Filed under: uncultured bacterium
Lineage: Bacteria
Description: partial 16S ribosomal RNA
Rfam family: Bacterial small subunit ribosomal RNA
Source: RNAcentral